RNAcentral lists this microRNA (22 nucleotides) under Pristionchus pacificus. RNAcentral describes it as "ppc-miR-8301-5p". Lineage: Eukaryota; Metazoa; Nematoda; Chromadorea; Rhabditida; Neodiplogasteridae. The record is from miRBase by way of RNAcentral.
UACCGAGGAUUGUUUGUUCACU